RNAcentral lists this ribosomal RNA (2921 nucleotides) under Klebsiella pneumoniae subsp. pneumoniae. RNAcentral describes it as "bacterial LSU rRNA". It matches the Rfam family "Bacterial large subunit ribosomal RNA". Lineage: Bacteria; Pseudomonadati; Pseudomonadota; Gammaproteobacteria; Enterobacterales; Enterobacteriaceae. The record is from RNAcentral.
GGGUUGUGAGGUUAAGCGACUAAGCGUACACGGUGGAUGCCCUGGCAGUCAGAGGCGAUGAAGGACGUGCUAAUCUGCGAAAAGCGUCGGUAAGGUGAUAUGAACCGUUAUAACCGGCGAUGUCCGAAUGGGGAAACCCAGUGCAAUUCGUUGCACUAUCGUUAACUGAAUACAUAGGUUAACGAGGCGAACCGGGGGAACUGAAACAUCUAAGUACCCCGAGGAAAAGAAAUCAACCGAGAUUCCCCCAGUAGCGGCGAGCGAACGGGGAGCAGCCCAGAGUCUGAAUCAGCUUGUGUGUUAGUGGAACGGUCUGGAAAGUCCGACGGUACAGGGUGAUAGUCCCGUACACCAAAAUGCACAGGUGUGAACUCGAAGAGUAGGGCGGGACACGUGGUAUCCUGUCUGAAUAUGGGGGACCAUCCUCCAAGGCUAAAUACUCCUGACUGACCGAUAGUGAACCAGUACCGUGAGGGAAAGGCGAAAAGAACCCCGGCGAGGGGAGUGAAAAAGAACCUGAAACCGUGUACGUACAAGCAGUGGGAGCACCUUCGGGUGUGACUGCGUACCUUUUGUAUAAUGGGUCAGCGACUUAUAUUCUGUAGCAAGGUUAACCGUAUAGGGGAGCCGCAGGGAAACCGAGUCUUAACUGGGCGUUAAGUUGCAGGGUAUAGACCCGAAACCCGGUGAUCUAGCCAUGGGCAGGUUGAAGGUUGGGUAACACUAACUGGAGGACCGAACCGACUAAUGUUGAAAAAUUAGCGGAUGACUUGUGGCUGGGGGUGAAAGGCCAAUCAAACCGGGAGAUAGCUGGUUCUCCCCGAAAGCUAUUUAGGUAGCGCCUCGUGAACUCAUCUUCGGGGGUAGAGCACUGUUUCGGCUAGGGGGUCAUCCCGACUUACCAACCCGAUGCAAACUACGAAUACCGAAGAAUGUUAUCACGGGAGACACACGGCGGGUGCUAACGUCCGUCGUGAAGAGGGAAACAACCCAGACCGCCAGCUAAGGUCCCAAAGUCAUGGUUAAGUGGGAAACGAUGUGGGAAGGCACAGACAGCCAGGAUGUUGGCUUAGAAGCAGCCAUCAUUUAAAGAAAGCGUAAUAGCUCACUGGUCGAGUCGGCCUGCGCGGAAGAUGUAACGGGGCUAAACCAUGCACCGAAGCUGCGGCAGCGACACUAUGUGUUGUUGGGUAGGGGAGCGUUCUGUAAGCCUGCGAAGGUGUGCUGUGAGGCAUGCUGGAGGUAUCAGAAGUGCGAAUGCUGACAUAAGUAACGAUAAAGCGGGUGAAAAGCCCGCUCGCCGGAAGACCAAGGGUUCCUGUCCAACGUUAAUCGGGGCAGGGUGAGUCGACCCCUAAGGCGAGGCCGAAAGGCGUAGUCGAUGGGAAACAGGUUAAUAUUCCUGUACUUGGUGUUACUGCGAAGGGGGGACGGAGAAGGCUAUGUUAGCCGGGCGACGGUUGUCCCGGUUUAAGCAUGUAGGCUGGUUAUCCAGGCAAAUCCGGAUAAUCAAGGCUGAGGUGUGAUGACGAGGCACUACGGUGCUGAAGUAACAAAUGCCCUGCUUCCAGGAAAAGCCUCUAAGCAUCAGGUAACAUCAAAUCGUACCCCAAACCGACACAGGUGGUCAGGUAGAGAAUACCAAGGCGCUUGAGAGAACUCGGGUGAAGGAACUAGGCAAAAUGGUGCCGUAACUUCGGGAGAAGGCACGCUGGUGUGUAGGUGAAGCCCCUGCGGGUGGAGCUGAGACCAGUCGAAGAUACCAGCUGGCUGCAACUGUUUAUUAAAAACACAGCACUGUGCAAACACGAAAGUGGACGUAUACGGUGUGACGCCUGCCCGGUGCCGGAAGGUUAAUUGAUGGGGUUAUCCGUAAGGAGAAGCUCUUGAUCGAAGCCCCGGUAAACGGCGGCCGUAACUAUAACGGUCCUAAGGUAGCGAAAUUCCUUGUCGGGUAAGUUCCGACCUGCACGAAUGGCGUAAUGAUGGCCAGGCUGUCUCCACCCGAGACUCAGUGAAAUUGAACUCGCUGUGAAGAUGCAGUGUACCCGCGGCAAGACGGAAAGACCCCGUGAACCUUUACUAUAGCUUGACACUGAACAUUGAGCCUUGAUGUGUAGGAUAGGUGGGAGGCUUUGAAGCGUGGACGCCAGUCUGCGUGGAGCCAACCUUGAAAUACCACCCUUUAAUGUUUGAUGUUCUAACGUUGGCCCCUGACCGGGGUUGCGGACAGUGUCUGGUGGGUAGUUUGACUGGGGCGGUCUCCUCCCAAAGCGUAACGGAGGAGCACGAAGGUUAGCUAAUCCUGGUCGGACAUCAGGAGGUUAGUGCAAUGGCAUAAGCUAGCUUGACUGCGAGCGUGACGGCGCGAGCAGGUGCGAAAGCAGGUCAUAGUGAUCCGGUGGUUCUGAAUGGAAGGGCCAUCGCUCAACGGAUAAAAGGUACUCCGGGGAUAACAGGCUGAUACCGCCCAAGAGUUCAUAUCGACGGCGGUGUUUGGCACCUCGAUGUCGGCUCAUCACAUCCUGGGGCUGAAGUAGGUCCCAAGGGUAUGGCUGUUCGCCAUUUAAAGUGGUACGCGAGCUGGGUUUAGAACGUCGUGAGACAGUUCGGUCCCUAUCUGCCGUGGGCGCUGGAGAAUUGAGGGGGGCUGCUCCUAGUACGAGAGGACCGGAGUGGACGCAUCACUGGUGUUCGGGUUGUCAUGCCAAUGGCACUGCCCGGUAGCUAAAUGCGGAAGAGAUAAGUGCUGAAAGCAUCUAAGCACGAAACUUGCCCCGAGAUGAGUUCUCCCUGAGACUUUAAGUCUCCUGAAGGAACGUUAAAGACGAUGACGUUGAUAGGCCGGGUGUGUAAGCGCAGCGAUGCGUUGAGCUAACCGGUACUAAUGAACCGUGAGGCUUAACCUUACAACGCCGAAG